AACUCUUCUUCUCAGAAACUUGCAGUUAAUAUGCUGUCAUUCUGUUGUCUAGCAUUGUAAAAACUUUAUAAAAUAACAAAUAACCAAAAUUUUCGUUUAUAUUAUAUUAAUCUGUCAUAUAAUAUCAAACUGAACAUUCAUAUCAUCUUUCUAAUUUAAUUAUACAGAUUAGAAUGAAUUUUUUUCAAGGAUUAUUUCACCCAAUUGAAACUUUCGUCAACAAUGUAGAAGUGUUUGAUAUCAAGACACCGCAAGACCUCUAUACAUUCUUCAUGCUGUGCCAUCUUUUUUCUUGGACCGUCUUGCUAUGGAAAUUUAAAUAAUCUAUUGGUUUAUUCUUGUACAAAUGGUGAAUCACAGGCUUCAAAUAAUAAUUGUAUUACUAAAAUCUAUAGAAUAUUUAUAGCAAACUGUUUUGUCUUGAAAACAAA
Molecule: long non-coding RNA, 431 nt
Organism: Dalotia coriaria
Lineage: Eukaryota; Metazoa; Arthropoda; Insecta; Coleoptera; Staphylinidae
Exons: 2
Source: RefSeq, a predicted model, not a curated record